GCUGAGCUGUGAUGGGGAGAAGACAUUGUGUCUUCGAGUCGUUGAUUUCACACUGCCGAGAAAAGCCUCUAGAUAGAAAAUAGGUGCCCGUACCGCAAACCGACACAGGUAGUCAAGAUGAGAAUUCUAAGGUGAGCGAGCGAACUCUCGUUAAGGAACUCGGCAAAAUGACCCCGUAACUUCGGGAGAAGGGGUGCUCUUUAGGGUUAACGCCCAGAAGAGCCGCAGUGAAUAGGCCCAAGCGACUGUUUAUCAAAAACACAGGUCUCUGCUAAACCGUAAGGUGAUGUAUAGGGGCUGACGCCUGCCCGGUGCUGGAAGGUUAAGAGGAGUGGUUAGCUUCUGCGAAGCUACGAAUCGAAGCCCCAGUAAACGGCGGCCGUAACUAUAACGGUCCUAAGGUAGCGAAAUUCCUUGUCGGGUAAGUUCCGACCCGCACGAAAGGCGUAACGAUUUGGGCACUGUCUCAACGAGAGACUCGGUGAAAUCAUAGUACCUGUGAAGAUGCAGGUUACCCGCGACAGGACGGAAAGACCCCGUGGAGCUUUACUGUAGCCUGAUAUUGAAAUUCGGCACAGCUUGUACAGGAUAGGUAGGAGCCUUUGAAACGUGAGCGCUAGCUUACGUGGAGGCGCUGGUGGGAUACUACCCUAGCUGUGUUGGCUUUCUAACCCGCACCACUUAUCGUGGUGGGAGACAGUGUCAGGCGGGCAGUUUGACUGGGGCGGUCGCCUCCUAAAAGGUAACGGAGGCGCUCAAAGGUUCCCUCAGAAUGGUUGGAAAUCAUUCAUAGAGUGUAAAGGCAUAAGGGAGCUUGACUGCGAGACCUACAAGUCGAGCAGGGUCGAAAGACGGACUUAGUGAUCCGGUGGUUCCGCAUGGAAGGGCCAUCGCUCAACGGAUAAAAGCUACCCCGGGGAUAACAGGCUUAUCUCCCCCAAGAGUUCACAUCGACGGGGAGGUUUGGCACCUCGAUGUCGGCUCAUCGCAUCCUGGGGCUGUAGUCGGUCCCAAGGGUUGGGCUGUUCGCCCAUUAAAGCGGUACGCGAGCUGGGUUCAGAACGUCGUGAGACAGUUCGGUCCCUAUCCGUCGUGGGCGUAGGAAAUUUGAGAGGAGCUGUCCUUAGUACGAGAGGACCGGGAUGGACAUACCUCUGGUGUACCAGUUGUCGUGCCAACGGCAUAGCUGGGUAGCUAUGUGUGGACGGGAUAAGUGCUGAAAGCAUCUAAGCAUGAAGCCCCCCUCAAGAUGAGAUUUCCCAACUUCGGUUAUAAGAUCCCUCAAAGAUGAUGAGGUUAAUAGGUUCGAGGUGGAAGCAUGGUGACAUGUGGAGCUGACGAAUACUAAUCGAUCGAAGACUUAAUCAA
This 1368-nucleotide ribosomal RNA is filed under the name Staphylococcus aureus. RNAcentral describes it as "partial 23S ribosomal RNA". It matches the Rfam family "Bacterial large subunit ribosomal RNA", at positions 1555 to 2925 of the family's 2925-position model. The record is from RNAcentral. Lineage: Bacteria; Bacillati; Bacillota; Bacilli; Caryophanales; Staphylococcaceae.